This 253-nucleotide ribosomal RNA is filed under the name uncultured bacterium. Its description in RNAcentral is "partial 16S ribosomal RNA". It matches the Rfam family "Bacterial small subunit ribosomal RNA", at positions 524 to 776 of the family's 1533-position model. The record is from RNAcentral.
UACGAAGGGUGCAAGCGUUAAUCGGAAUUACUGGGCGUAAAGCGUGCGUAGGCGGUUUGUUAAGUCUGCUGUGAAAUCCCCGGGCUCAACCUGGGAAUGGCAGUGGAUACUGGCAAGCUAGAGUGUGUCAGAGGAUGGUGGAAUUCCCGGUGUAGCGGUGAAAUGCGCAGAUAUCAGGAGGAACACCAGCGGCGAAGGCGGUGCUCUGGGCCGGAACUGACACUGAGGAGCGAAAGCGUGGGUAGCAAACAGG